UUUCAUGCCAAGAGGGUUGCUGAAGUUUAGUUCGUCCAGCAGAAGCACAGACAGGAGUUGAUUGAUCUUUGAAACCAGUGAAGCUAUAGAUGGGGAAAGAGCCCAUUGCCUCUUAAGUAUCUCUGAUUCCCAAUGGUAGAAGAGGUAAUUGAAGUGGCUAACUGCAGAACAGAUGUUCUGUUCUGGUUUACUUUGGAUUCAAAACAAUGGAAAAUAAUGGUAAUCAUGUAAUCUACAUAACUAAGGACUGAAGAACCUGCUACUCUAAAUUGUUACAAAGAUAACCAUGGGGUGAAAAUUGUAGGAACUGAUGUGAAAAUCUCAGCAGCAGAGACAAGGCAAAUAAUUUGCAUGAAGACCAAAUAAAGGCUGGCAUUUUAUAGCCCUAUAUGUUUUGGAUGAUUACUCCCAUAUUCCUAAACUGCUGAUCCUGCUGACUGAGGAUGAGGGGCGGUGUUGUCCAAAAUUUUGGGAAAGUGCCGAAGUUUUCAUACCAAAAUAAACACCACAGCAUCGGAGAAAGAUCUCGAUGGGCCCGUUCUAACAUAGUCGUUUGGAUAUAAGAAAUGUUAAGACAAGCUACAAGUCAUGAUCACUUAGGAACUGUAGUAUACAUGAAAAACAAAGAACUGGGGUGAGAGAACAAGGCACAAUCCACUGGGAAUUGGAUCCACCAUCCUACAAAAGGACUACUAGAAUAUCUGAUGCUUGUGUCUGGACUAGAAGUGAGUGGACUGCAUCUGGAAAGGCAAUGGAAGAAAUGCAAACCCUGAGUACCAAGCAAUAAUAUAAGAACCGUAACAGAUGAAUAGGAGUUAAGCUACAAUUGAGAGCACUAACCAAGCACAAGCCCAGGAGAGGCACCAGUCAAGAUCCAAGGGGUAUCAAAAAGGAGACUCCGCUUUGGUGUGAGGAGGAGAUGGAAGCAGCUCCAAAACUGAGCAAAAAGGGGUUUGGAAAGAGGGCAUCCUUGCGGCCAGAAAGUCCCAGUAAGAAAGAAGACAAGGAAAGAAGGCCCAUCUUUCCAAAGAUUUGGAGAAUUCUCAGAGGACACCUGGUUGCCUGGUCUUCCCCGGACUUCAAAAUACACAGUUAGGGCAGAAAAACAAAGCCCCCACCAUGUCCAAAGAAAGUGAUUAUAGCUGGGAAGGAGGAGUGCUCUCAUUCAUCCUAAAUACUAACAACCUCCCCAAUCCCAUCAAUUCCUAGAUUAUGGAGUGCAAAGGAUGAAACUACUCUGGCCCCAGUGCUUCUCGUCCCUGCACCUGGGCCACUACUGGGAUGAGAUAGGGAGGGGAUUGGCUCCCUCACAGUUAAUACUGUACACUCCCCAUUACUGGAGAGGCUAGGGGAUGUGGGGUGGUGGUGUCUCUCUCUCUCUCUCUCCAGGCCACCCAAAACUUAACAUGUCUUCCACAACUGCUGCCUGUAUUGAGAAUCAAAAGAAGUAAUUCAGUUCUCAAAAUGGUGACAUGAAGAGAGGUUUUCCCAAGCUUCAUAGUGAUUCUUACCUAAGAUCAAUUGGUCAAUCAAAGCAAUCAGCUUUGGAUGUACUCCACCAAAAUAGAAAUCAGGUGCAACAACUGAUGACAUAAUUUAGAGGUCUUCCUUACACUUACUACUUCAUUCAGGUCAGAUACGCAUAGACUGUGGUAUGUUCAACCAGGAGCAUAUGGUAUAGAACAGGGGUGUGAAACUGGCGGCCUGUAGGCUGGAUGCAUCACUCCCACACCAACUCCACGAAUGGGAAAAACGUUGUGAAACAUCACAUGACGGCAACGUGACGCAGCGAGUUUGAUACCCAUGGUAUAGAAGAUGACUGAAGCUAAGCAGAGCCAGAUGAAUGACCUCGAACUCCAGGAAGUUGAAGGAAGAAGCAAUAGCCCUUAGCUUUGCAGCACAAAUAAAGCCACGGAUAGCUGAUCUAGCUAGUUACUACUGUUGGAGGAGCACAAGAGCACAAAGUUUUUCCCUGUUGAAAUCGUGGAGAUGUUCGCUUACUUACAAAAAGGCAGCCAAGCCAGUGACUCCAUGACCUCACAACUAUUUCCUUCAGAAAUGGCAGAAGUUCCAACAGAAUGAUCCAAGAAUGAUCCUUCAUCUAUGCCUGCACCCAUGACUUCCUGGAGAUGAGCUAGAGUUAGCACAUGUAAGGGCAAUCCGACAAGGCUCUUUAUCUCCCCUGUUCUUUGAAAUGCAGGCUGUAGUUAAAUUUUUAAUACUGUACCGAAGUGCACAACGAGUGGGAAAAAGCUGUGUCUUUCUAGGUUGCCUCCUAUCCCUCCCAGACUGAUCAGACACAAAGUCAUUGUCUUACUCAGCAGAUACUAAAACAGACCUCAUGAAAAAAAAAUCAUCUAGGUAAAGAUAAACAUGAAUUUCCCAAUCCCACAGAAACAUCACCCAUGUCAACAGGGAGUGUUUUAGGAACCAACGUCCAGCUGAAGGAGAAAGUAUCCUGAAAACAGUUCUCCAAACAUUUUAACCAGAGGAACUGGUUGGCGAAAGGGGUGGAUUAAAAUAUGCAGACCAGUCUCCUGAAGAUCCAGGGAAGCCAGAAUGUUUUAGCCUAUGAGACAUUCCAUGAUGGAAUCCAAUGACUCCUUACAAAGCCUGCAAUGUUCUAUGUGCUGAUUCUCCCCACUUCAAACCUAGCGGGGUUCUCCUCCUCAUUGCUUCUUCCCGGGAAACACAACUUAAAUAUAAAGUAGCACUUGAGGCUCUUUCUGCAGGAAGAAAUAGUUCACUGGCCUUGAUGGCCAGAAAAAGAUCUAUCACUUCUAGUAUUUGACAAUCCUUCUGAUUUCAAACCUGAGGGAAAGAAAUGAAGAAAUCCCACAGAAAAAUUUGGAACGCAGUGAAAUAUCUCCACUGCAUGUGCGAAGUAUUCAAGAGUCUGAUAUUGUGAGCCAACAAUACUUUUACAAGUAUUACAAUAAAAUCAGGGUUGCUGUCAUUGCUAUUUGUGAGUCCCUUUGCAAAGAUGGGAACACUAGAACCUCUAAAAGGAAGAUGGGAAGGUUAUUGUUUCAGCUGUAUGAGAGCCUAGAUUCAACAGUGACCGUUCAAA
Molecule: non-coding RNA, 3070 nt
Organism: Pseudonaja textilis
Lineage: Eukaryota; Metazoa; Chordata; Lepidosauria; Squamata; Elapidae
Source: RefSeq, a predicted model, not a curated record